CAGAUUAUAGCUUAUAAAAAGUUUAUUAUUUACAUUAAUAUGAAAAUUUAAUACAAAUUUAAUUUGA
Molecule: transfer RNA, 67 nt
Filed under: Cicadellidae sp. EMHAU-2015-Zz052706
Lineage: Eukaryota; Metazoa; Arthropoda; Insecta; Hemiptera; Cicadellidae
Description: tRNA-Val
Source: RNAcentral